UCGCGACCCCGAGCGCCAGCCCAACUCCAUUAUCUGCCCUGGGCUCGCGCGUCGGGCCCAGGUAACAACUUCCCCAAACCGAAAGAGUCAAAGCAAGGCGCAUGCACACAGCCCCGUGCCCGCGGGGACUCGGGCUGCCCGGGCGUCCCGACCAGUCUGUGUUGCUUCCCGGCCGCGAGCAGCAGGCGGUGAGUCCACGCACACGCUCGCCCCACGGCAGCAGCUAGGAGUCGCCCGACCCUGCUCAGCCCCCGACGGUCACCGCACGCGCGGAGUUCCAGCCCCGCGAGCGCCCGGCUAGCGGCGGUCCCGCGCGUCCCCAUCCCCGCCCGCCCGCGAGCGCGCGGGGCGCAACUUUACCGCGGGUGCCCGACGACCCGGCGCGCAGCGCCCGCUCCCGCGCACACGCGCGCACGGCCGACACGCAGCCGACACGCAACCGGCCCGCGGCUGCCCGUCCUCUCCCGCCCGCGCCCGCCCCGCAGCCCGCGCCCGCCCGCAGCAAGUUUGUUCCCCGCCGCCGCGGCCUGCGCGGAGGGAGGAUCGCGCGCGGGGAGACGCCGAGGGGCGGCAAGAGUGGAGAAAGUGCGGAAAGAAGCAACAGCCGCUCCACCCGCGGGCGGAAAAGUGGCCGGGCGCGGCGGCGGGAUGCGGCGCGGCUAACGGUCCUCGGCGGCCGCGCGAGCCGCUAGGCGCAGAGGCAGACGCUCGGGUUUCCCCAGCCUACCCGGACGGGAAGUGACAGCAGUUGGGUUGAACUUCAGCUGGACAGAGAAGGAGGCGAGAAAUUCCGCUCUCAGGAAAGCAGCAUGAGUAAUCGCCUGCACGGUGCCAGACUCACUUCCUCAUCCUCGCCUAGCUCACCUGCUGUCACCUUGCCUACCCCGCCCUGCAGGGUCCUAGGGUGGCCAGGUUAGUGGGCCUUGCGACUUGCCCUUGAGGCAUAAACACACUAGGAGAGCACGCCUGGAAACCUGCAAUCCGAAGUGCCCAGAGCGUGAGACAGGAGGAUGGCCAAGUGUUCAAGCCAGCCUGCACUACAGUGGAGCUCGGACUCAAAAUAACCUCAGUUUCGCACAUAUCUGAGCAGUCUAAUGACCUCGAGGCUAAAAGCAAAGCUGGCUAGUGUUCGCUGAGGCCGAUCUUUACCUGAAGUCCUUGACUUUGUACAAGACCCAAAAUGCCUUGAUACUCGUCUCCAGUAAUUAGAAUUUAAAUUUACCUUUCUCUCCCUGUUUCCCACCCCUUUUAAAGGAGGAGUUGUUAAGGGACAACUUUUUUGAGUGGAUCAAAGAAAGCUGGUGGUCACCUCACUGUUGCAGUUCAACCAGAUUCUACAGCCAGGCCCAGGCAAUGCUUAACCAACAGUCCUCAGGACCCGUGCCAGCUUCUCUAAUCAAGCCUCCUUGGAGGUGAUGAAGGGAAACGUGUUUUCCUCGUGCCCCCAGGUGCCAUCUGUUUCCUGCCCAGGACCCCGAGUAAUAUGUAACUUGGAAUUAGAAAUUAUGUUCAACCUUGUCAACAAACAGUACCCAUCCCAUUGAUUCUACAUUAAAAUUUGAAUGUGAGACUCACCAACAUCUGCAAGAGCCUUGCUCCAAUGACCUGCUCAGUGGCCUUCUGUUCUGCUCAUCCACUCCACAAGUAUUUUUUCCUUGUUUGCUCUUCUGGACACCUGUGCACACACCACCAAUCCAUUGCAUGUAUUCUGGCUCAACCAAUGAGCUGUCUACAGUGAGUUGCCUUCUGUACUCUGCUGUCAGUGUUGAAGAAAACCAAAGCUGUUUGCUGGAUUCGUGCUAAUCCUCCAAGCACUCCAGGCUUAUUGGAACUUCCACAGUGGAAGAGACGGGUGUCGUGUGCCAAGCUCUGAGGCUUAAACAUGAGCAGAAGAACACGCCUUUAAUUUCAGCCCUCAGGAGGCUGAGGCAGGAGGAUUGAGAGUUGGAAACCAAAGCCAGCUUGGUCUACACUGCAAGACCUUUUCUCAAAAAAAAAAAAAAAAAAAGAGGCUUGCUGAGUGGAAGCUACAGCCGACCUGUGAACACCCUCACCGGCGGCGGCGCUCAUCUCAUCCACACGGGGCUUCUCAGGUGCCGUCAUCCAGUUGCCCGCAGACAUGCUGAAACAUUCAGGACUGAACACUGAACACAUUCACUGCAGGGUAACUAUCACAGAGAAGAAAAUGAAACUGCUGACUGAAACGUUAAUAAACUCCCCAUGUCUGUGCCUCUUUGACAAAUCACCUCCACGGUGGCUAAGAUUUCUGCCGCACCCGGCAGUGGGGACCACAUCACAUCGUCACAUAGACCUGGUUUACCGUAAGUCCUUCCUCCUGGAUCAAAGCAGGAUCCCAGCCUCCACUGUCGCCUAUCCACCUGUCCUUUCCUCUGCUUCCUCCUUCAGACUGACAUUAUCUCACUGCACUCAGUUUUGGAAGGCCAAGGGCAUAGGGUGGCGUUAUGACUUCCAGGGACGAACUGCUGGCAAGUGCAAGGCCAAGAUUCAAAGUCCUGCUGUGGGCUUUGGUUCCUGUCUGGUUCCUGCUGGUUGUCUUUCUUCAGCGGUAGAAUUGGCUGUUCUUGUGGUGAGGCACAAGUGCCACUGUGGACAGGCUUGAAGGAGAAAACAUGCUCACCUCGUGGCUGUUGGGAAGCAAAGACGGGAGAGAGGCAGCAACCAGGACAAAACAGAAUUCAUGUCCCUAGGACCUAUUUCUUCCAACUAGGACCAGCCUAAUCGCCAUUCAGCUGGGGAGUCGUUGAUGUGCUGGUCAACUGAUGAGGUUAGGACCAUCCUGACUCCACCUUUCAGUGGUGACACCAGCUGGGAGCCAGCCAUUAACACAUGAGUCCAUGUAAACUUGAACAGCCCACUUGGACCUCACUAUUCAGGUCAGUGCUGAUUGGAUUGCUAACCUGGAGAACCUCCAAAUCUCGGGGCCAGAAAUCAGUUCUGAAGUCCGCAAAGGUAUGGUGUGGAGGAGACAGAGAAGGGAAAGGAACUGAUCGUCCUAAUCAUCCAGCUUUAAGUUCAGAAACUACUGCUCAGUUUGUCUCAUCUCUGGUCUCUAUAAAGGAAAUCUGAAUGGAUAAAUGUCCAGGCAUUGAAAAAGAAAAUGGAAAAGAGGUGUCUUACCCUGCUCAACUGAACUCCCAAGAGUUGUACCCCCAAUCCUAAAGCAACCCUGCCCUGUGAGAGUGGAAUAAUGGUCAAAUGUAUCCAGUUCGAUUGUUGGAUGGUACAUGAAUUGUCCAUCCAAUGGCCUUCACACAUCAGUGCAUCGGGAGCCCACUCUGUGAGCUUGCCUGGGUCCAGACGGGAUCUUGCGGAUGGGUGAUUCCCUUGGAUUACUCUAACAGAGUUUAAAUAUAAAGAGGAAGCAGGAAGAACAGACACAGACAGAAAACAAGGCAGUGUGACCAUGGUGACAAAGACUGGAUGCAAUGAGCCACGUCCGCAGCUGCCAGUGCUAAUGUCUGGAGCCUGGGUGACCCCAGAGUCACCCUGCCCAGCCUACCCUGUAGACAAACACUGUCCUGAUGAAACUAGCUUGAAUUUUGUACCCCAGGAUUUUCAGAGAAAAAUGAACAAGCAGUGGCCAGAGCACUAGCUGAGGAAGUUCCAGCCCAUGAAAAACACCACUGGAGACCUGCAAGAACUUUAUAUGACACUACCAAUGCUGUAUGUUAAGAGGAAUUUGACCAUGGGUGAUGAGAGAACCAAAGAAGAGCAAUGGAGUUUGCAAGUCGGUAGUGUGGAAGAGGGCUGGAGACGGGGUUUGGAGGGCAGGACUAGGAGGGCCAAUUCUGGGAUGGAGAGAGGGGUGCAAGGGGCUGAAUUAAAGAUGCCUCUCACCAUGGAACCAGGAUUUGGGAGUGUGGAGGGCUCAAGAGCGGAGGCUGGGUGUUGGGUAUGUCUCCUGCCACUCUCUGAACCCCAGGCACUGAGUAAACAGUCAAAGAAGCCAUGCAGCAGGGCAGCCAGACAGCUUGUCAAGCCCCUCGGUCUCUUUUGCGCUGGGUGGGUGUCACGGCACUGGGACUCCAUUGUGACCCACAGGCUUCUAUCCAGACAGCACCUGACACUUUCUGAAUCGGGCCAAGCCCGGACCCCAGGCAGAGGAGAUGGAACAUCACUGAGCUGCUAGACACCCCGGCACACAGCCAAAACAGAACAAAACCAGCCGGGUGAGAACCACAGAGGCUGUGUGGGGGCCAAAUGGCUUUCUAAUCAUGCUGCUCUCCAGACAGGACAAAACCCUGUCUCUCCAGCACACAUGGAGCCAGGAAAAUGAGAGGAGGCCAGGCAUCCAGCAAGUCCAGAGCAAAGAAUCUUGUUUCAAAGCUCAUAGAUCCCCUUGGCCUGGGUCAGUGGAGCACGGAAAGGAGAGAGGGAGGGGUCUGUUAUUCCUGGAACAUCAGGGACCUGCUCUACAGAACUGAACACUUUGAGAUGGAACAGGUGGAUCUGAAAGAAAAUAUGCCAUUUCCUCAUGAAUGUUCUACCAGCUCUCUCUGGAACUUAACACAACACCCUCCUGGAAACAUAAUAUGAAGGUUGGGAUUUUUUGUCUCUGUCCCCUAGCAAGAGUUGUCCCCACUGCUGCACGUGCUGAGGCAGUUUGCAUGAAGAGGAGCCAGUUUAGAAUUGUCACAUUUAUGUUCCACAAGGAGGAGGUUUACUAACUGGUUGCUAAUUUUGCAUCAGUGGCUGGUGGGUAAUGUAUGUUACUCUCAUAGUCUUUGCACUUCCUUGUGACUCUGUUUCAGAACCGUGGCAAUGAAAGACAUAUUCCUGAUGUGGAAAUAUAAUUGUAAUGCUGCUGUUCAAUCAAUCAGGAGAUGUUAGGAAAUACAUCCAGAGUUGUUUCGAAUAUGACUGUAGUCAGGCGGCUGGCAGGCGAGAGGCAGCCACUUCAGCUUGGGCCAGCUCCUAAGUCCAGUCUCGCUUCCCCAUGUUGAACCAUCUCUGCAGCUGGAUUGCUGCCGCCCACUUCCUCAGCAAGCUCAGCUUCCUUGGAACUCCUAGGCAAGCAGAAAACUCCGGAAACUGAAACCAUGGAAGUUACCAAGUUCCCAGAGGAGUGUGGACCACCCAGAACCUAAACCCAGUGAUAACUGACCAAAUGACAAGUCAGGAAAAAUGGUCUUGGGUGAGCAAGCAUUUCUGAGGUCUUGGUGUGUUUUACUUGACCGGGACUAUUGGACUUCAGUUUGGUUGGGAGUAAAGUAGCAUCUGGAAAGGGGAAAUAAAGUGGUACAAUUUUCUCCCCAGGAGGACAGUGGCCAUCCAAAGCUACAGGGAAGGUGGAUCAAGGCCAUUGCCCUGCCCUGCCCUGUACCCCUCAGGCUGUUUGAGGACCCCAGGGACUCACUCUCUGGGCAGCCAUGCCAUUGGAUAGCUAAGUCACAAUACAUGCCACAUGCUUUGUCCUUCAGAAGCUCCAUCACAGACUUGUGGUGACAGGGAUUUUUAACUGGGCUAGCAAAGUCUCAUUGUUUUUCAAAAGUCCUGAUGGCCCCUGUUUUUAAUUAAGAACACAUGGGCAGAAGAUGGUCAGUUCCUUCACUUUACCUCUUUGUGAAAGAACAGUGUCUUAAUGGCAAUUCAGUUUGCCUGCCCCUGGUUUUCUGGGUAGUAGUUUGUUCUCUCUCUCUCUCUCUCUCUCUCUCUCUCUCUCUCUCUCUCUCUCUCUCUCUCUCUCUGUGUGUGUGUGUGUGUGUGUGUGUGUGUGUGUGUUUCUGCAAGCCCAAUACUAAAGAAUUAUCUUUAGUGACUUUUCUACUGUAUUCAAUGAUGCAGGGUCUCUCAGCUAAACCCAGUGCUCACUGAUAAGCUCUAGUCUUUCUAGUCAUCCUGCUCUGAGGACCACCAUGUCCACCUUCUGAGGCUGGAGUUACAGGUAGGCCACCAUGGCCAUCUGGCAUUUUUGUGGAUUUCUGAGGAUUCCCAAAUCUGGUACUCAGGUUGGACAGGAAGCACCUUAACCUCUUAGCCAUCUCCCUAGGCUUCCUGGGCAGUUUUAAACUGACCACCUAAUCUCUUGUCAACCAGAGAGCAGUGCUCACAUCCCUGUGUCCUGUGCAGGUUUGCUGUUUGGUGAAACCCAGGGGUAAUAAAAAUGCUGGCAGAGUAAAUUCUAGGCUGUCUGUUGGAAGCCCCAUCCAUCACCAUAUGCAAAUGUAUUCCACAAUACUUCAAGUCUUCAGCACUAAAUUAAGUAGCUGCAUAAAGUCUCAAGAAAUAAAAAGCAGGAGGGUCAAGGAAUGGCUUGAUCUAAAUCAUGGCUUAACUACUUCAUAGGAAUUGUUUGUUUUUUUCUGGGGGAGGUGGGCUAUGGCUGUAAGUGAAUGUGCCCCCAAAGACCACAUACUUAUCUCCAAAUAUGUCCCCCAAAGGCAAACAUAGUUUGUUCCAUGGGCUGUACUUUGUGCCUUUCCUUCCCUGACCAAAAUGUCCAACUGUGCACACACACAGUUCCAUAUGAAUUAAGGUGUUUAAACAGGACAAGAUGGUAUUUUCUGAGCACCUUCCAAAGGCCUGAAUGUUAUAGUGUUCAUUAGAUCCACACAGGCCCUGGAACAGGAAAAUCAUGCCCCCCCCCAUCAAACUGUAGAGAUGAGACUGAGUUACAGAGAGAUUAAUUUAGCUGAAAUCAAGCUGUUUGCAAGUGACAGUUCUAAGACAUGAGCUGCAGCAGUGUGACAUUAGGUGAGUUUUACCCAUAUGUCAUCCUGCCUCUGGGCUUGCUACAGUAAUCUAGAGAAGCGCUUCCUGGCUAGAAUGCCACUCCACAUGCCACUUGGCCUGGCAUCUAUAGUCACUCGAAUAAUGACAAUUCUGUCUUCCUCCCCUCUCAAAUCCAUGACAGAGGACGAGCUUUUCAGAAGGACUCUUCUCCAGGACAGGCACAAGGUGGGAGUUGCUGCCUGAGAUCUGCUCUUCGUGGCACAAGGAUCUGAAGCAGGAGAGCAUCCAUGAGCAUCCCCAAAUGUUUAAAACAGCAGCACCAGGUAUUUGGGAAGUAAUCAGAAGCAAGGAGGACUUAUCUUUUCCAUCACAGAAGCCACUGGGCCGAGAUAGACUCCUGCUGGAGUUCUAGCACCUUGUAUCCUGAGACAGAACUGGUCCAACUCACAGUAGCAGAACUGCUGGAUAGGGACACAGAAGGGACAUCAGCACAGAGGUAGACAAGGCACCUGGAUGACAGUCGCAUAUCUACUUACCUAAGUCAUGGGGGAAUCAUCAGAAGCAGGCUGUAAACUAUGGAUUUUGUCUGCUCAAUCACAAACUUACGUGGCUUUGCAAGUACUGUGCUUCUCAUAGUCUUGGGCAUCUCCAAGGACCCUGCCUUCAGACCAGGUGGCUGCCCAUGGAAGAGCCAUCCUAAUCCCAAGAUUCCUCUAGACUGGUGCUGCAGACCUCUCUAGGGGUUCAGACGGAUGUCUCCAGUGAGGAUGGUCUGACCCAGAGAUGAGAUGUGACUGCGGUUGUCUCCCUGAGCAGGCACAGUCUAAUGCAGCUUUUGCUUUCAAGUCAAGAGGAAGAGAAGCAAACGGAAUGUGACAACCUGUUCACUCUAAAAGAAUGAGAGCAUAGGUUCAGAUUCUCUCUUCUAGCUUGGCAGUGGACCCUGGAGGGUGACUGAGGGCCUGUGGCCUGGGACCAUAGGAAGAGUGUCACACUUAAUGUGACACAACCAGAUCUUUCAAUAGCCAAUCAGAGCACUUGGGCUGGGACUGGCCAGAGAGCUGCCUGUUGGGUCUGUAUUCCCACCAUGGACGCCCCCUUGGAAAGUCACACCUGCCUUGCCACCCUGCUCUCUGGACUCCAGGGCUGUGUAGCAGUCACUUCUGUUGUUUUCUCCUUGCCUGCUUGCUCUGCGUCCCUCAAGAUGUAGGUUUAAAGCCACCACAGCCUCUACCACCUCAAUAUAAUCACUACUGGAGUAGAAGCUGAGGGACAAGAACUACAUCUUAGUUAUCCAGCUCUACUGCAGAUAUGCUGCAGGGUGUGCAUGAGGAGCGUGGCAGGGAGUAGUGAGACUGGACCAGCCUAAGUGGCAAGUGAAAACUGAAUCAACAAGAAAGAGCAAAUGACAAAAAGUAUAUUCAAAGCCAACAAACAGGAAUUAGCCCUAUGUAGGAAAGACUAAAGCUAUAAAGCUAGUUAUUCCAUGUUCUAAGUUUUCUAUGCACUUAUAAUGCCUGUUAAUUUUGGAAGACUUCAUGAAUUGACUAUCAGGUCAAGAGACUUAUUGUAACUAAAUCUGAAUUGGUUGAGCCAAAUGUUAUCCAUGUAAAAGUAAAGCAUCGUCAAAUAUUGAAAAUAA
Mesocricetus auratus (golden hamster) is the source of this 8335-nucleotide RNA transcript. It is a transcript of the gene named homeobox protein GBX-2-like, with no coding region annotated. The transcript has 17 exons. The record is from RefSeq and is a predicted model, not a curated record. NCBI's taxonomy places the organism in Eukaryota, Metazoa, Chordata, Mammalia, Rodentia, Cricetidae.